GGGAAAUCUUACCGGGUCCGGACACACUGAGGAUUGACAGGUGUUUCGUUUUGAUAUAGCAUUUAUAUAUAAUGUAUCAAAAACCAAAUUUUCAUAAUUUGCUUUUGUUUAAAAUAUAUUAUAUAUGUGUUAUUAUACAAAACAUUUCAAAUAUGCUAGUCCUUUCAUGAUUGUGUGAUAGGUGGUGCAUGGCCGUUCUUAGUUCGUGGAGUGAUCUGUCUGCUUAAUUGCGUUUCACUUAUGGCCACGAGUGUUUUAUACUAUUACUGUGGAUCUCAUCUGUUUUUUUACAAAACGAUGACUGGUCCCGUAUGGUAUGCACUUGUGAAAGCCUCGAAGGCAACGAAC
RNAcentral lists this ribosomal RNA (348 nucleotides) under Allogromiina sp. A136. RNAcentral describes it as "bacterial SSU rRNA". It matches the Rfam family "Eukaryotic small subunit ribosomal RNA", at positions 1207 to 1424 of the family's 1831-position model. Lineage: Eukaryota; Foraminifera; Allogromiidae. The record is from RNAcentral.